UAUCUGCCCUGUUCGCGAACUCAAUCGUCUUUUAUAACCCUACAACCUUUUUUAUAGGGAGUUCGCCUCCGGCGCUGGGUAUGCAGGCCUCCCUCUGUGCUUGCACAGAGGACGUUGGAAGCACAAAGGCGUUGGGAGAACACCCACCUGCUUUACUGCAGGUUAUCAAAUUACGAUAUACGGCAGGGCGGGUAU
Molecule: non-coding RNA, 195 nt
Filed under: human gut metagenome
Description: 6S / SsrS RNA
Rfam family: 6S / SsrS RNA
About the family: E. coli 6S RNA was the first non coding RNA to be sequenced, but its function was unknown until recently.
Source: RNAcentral